Molecule: ribosomal RNA, 428 nt
Filed under: uncultured eukaryote
Lineage: Eukaryota
Description: partial 18S ribosomal RNA
Rfam family: Eukaryotic small subunit ribosomal RNA
Source: RNAcentral
UAAUUUGNCUCAACNCCGNGGGAAANUUAUNCAGGUCCCAGCNCAUAAGUGAGGGAUUGGCAGAUUUGAGGAGCUNUUUUCUUGANUUCUAUGGGUGGGUGGUGCAUGGCCGUUCUUUAGUUGGUGGAGUGAUUUAUCUGGUUAAUUCCGUUAGCGAACGAGACCCCCGCCUGGUAAAUAGUCANAGGAAUGCUUAGCAUUUCUGUUGGCUUCUUAGAGGGACUUUCGGUGACUANCCGAAGGAAGUNGGGGGCAAUNACAGGUCUGUGAUGCCCNUAGAUGUCNUGGGCCGCACGCGCGNUACACUGACACACGCAGCGAGUUCUCCUUGUUCCGAAAGGUCCGGGAAAUCUUUGGAAAUGUGUUGUCGUGAUAGGGAUAGAUUUAUUGCCAAUUAUUAAUUCUUGAACCGAGGAAUUUCCUUAGGU